Molecule: ribosomal RNA, 253 nt
Filed under: uncultured bacterium
Lineage: Bacteria
Description: partial 16S ribosomal RNA
Rfam family: Bacterial small subunit ribosomal RNA
Source: RNAcentral
UACAUAGGGUGCAAGCGUUGUCCGGAAUUAUUGGGCGUAAAGAGCUUGUAGGCGGUUUGUCGCGUCUGCUGUGAAAUUUCGGGGCUCAACCCCGAACUUGCAGUGGGUACGGGCAGACUAGAGUGUGGUAGGGGAGACUGGAAUUCCUGGUGUAGCGGUGAAAUGCGCAGAUAUCAGGAGGAACACCGAUGGCGAAGGCAGGUCUCUGGGCCAUAACUGACGCUGAGAAGCGAAAGCAUGGGGAGCGAACAGG